RNAcentral lists this transfer RNA (86 nucleotides) under Chloroflexota bacterium. Its description in RNAcentral is "Chloroflexi bacterium tRNA-Leu". It matches the Rfam family "tRNA". Rfam says of the family: Transfer RNA (tRNA) molecules are approximately 80 nucleotides in length. Their secondary structure includes four short double-helical elements and three loops (D, anti-codon, and T loops). The record is from RNAcentral. RNAcentral also lists the same sequence under 3 other names. Lineage: Bacteria; Bacillati; Chloroflexota.
GCCGAGGUGGCGAAACGGCAGACGCGCUGCGUUCAGGGCGCAGUGUCCUUAUGGACGUGUGGGUUCAAAUCCCUCCCUCGGCACCA